AACAUCGCGCACCUGCGGGAACCUGCGGAAGGAUCAUUACAGAGUUGCAAAACUCCCACAAACCAUCGCGAAUCUUACCCGUACGGUUGCCUCGGCGCUGGCGGUCCGGAAGGCCCUCGGGCCCCCGGACCCUCGGGUCCCCCGCUCGCGGGGGGCUGCCCGCCGGAGUGCCGAAACCAAACUCUUGAUAUUUUAUGUCUCUCUGAGUAAACUUUUAAAUAAGUCAAAACUUUCAACAAC
RNAcentral lists this unclassified non-coding RNA (240 nucleotides) under soil metagenome. Its description in RNAcentral is "partial contains 5.8S ribosomal RNA, internal transcribed spacer 2, and large subunit ribosomal RNA". The record is from RNAcentral.